Molecule: ribosomal RNA, 427 nt
Filed under: uncultured bacterium
Lineage: Bacteria
Description: bacterial SSU rRNA
Rfam family: Bacterial small subunit ribosomal RNA
Source: RNAcentral
UGGGGAAUUUUGGACAAUGGGCGAAAGCCUGAUCCAGCCAUGCCGCGUGAGUGAAGAAGGCCUUCGGGUUGUAAAGCUCUUUUAGUCGGAAAGAAAGAGUUGCAAUGAAUAAUUGUGAUUUAUGACGGUACCGACAGAAAAAGCACCGGCUAACUACGUGCCAGCAGCCGCGGUAAUACGUAGGGUGCGAGCGUUAAUCGGAAUUACUGGGCGUAAAGCGUGCGUAGGUGGUUGUUUAAGUCUGAUGUGAAAGCCCUGGGCUCAACCUGGGAAUGGCAUUGGAAACUGGGCAGCUAGAGUGCGGUAGAGGGUAGUGGAAUUCCCGGUGUAGCAGUGAAAUGCGUAGAGAUCGGGAGGAACAUCUGUGGCGAAGGCGACUGCCUGGACCAGCACUGACACUGAGGCACGAAAGCGUGGGGAGCAAACA